This is a non-coding RNA of Phoenix dactylifera (date palm), 950 nucleotides long. The record is from RefSeq and is a predicted model, not a curated record. NCBI's taxonomy places the organism in Eukaryota, Viridiplantae, Streptophyta, Magnoliopsida, Arecales, Arecaceae.
UUUUCAAAAUUUUUUUUUCGAAAAAUAAAAAAAAUAAAAUAAAAAUAGUUUCUAUUUUUACUUUCUUUAUCUCCUUCUCCUCUCUUACUAAUUUUUGAUUUUUCUUGGUAUCAUUUGAUCAGGAACCAAAGAGAAAGUUUGGGACAAUUAGAAAGGGAACGAUUGAAAAAGGAAUACUGUAGAGGUCGAAUCUAAUAUAUGCAAGUCGAGUCAAACUUUUUCGGAUGAUCCCUGAACCCGAAUGACAUGCACCUCGGUCCAGCCCCACUUCCCUGUUUCUUUCGCAUCCAAUCGAGUUCAAACUUUCAUUACGUUGUACUAUCUGAUCAUUAUCACAUCUACGAUUAGCUAUUCAAAGUCUUCCUAAAAUUCCAUGUACAAGCCAUCCACAUCAAAUCUUACACAUCAUCUCCCUAUUCUUCCACCACGUCUUAAUGUCUUCUAAGCAUUCCCAAUCUCCCCUGUUCCAUGUCCAAAGAACAGAGUCAUCCCAAGACUUCUCAGCCGACCUCAUGUCUCACGAUAUCAUCUCCAACUAAAAUCUUUUUUUUUCUCCACGUCACCUUCUCCCAGGUUUCUUCCACAUCGUUCCAUCCUUAUCCUAUCCCCAACCAACUCCAAGCUUCAUCCUGUUGUGAUCUUCUCUUCUCCCGUUCGGAUCAAGCAACCAAUAUUCCCCUGUUUCCCAUUUGUAAUAACACUCAUCCCGACUAUCUGUUCUCUGUUGAUCCUCCCAACUUCUCUUCCCUGAUUUCUUCACCCGUUCAAAUCAAGCCGAGUCCCAAGCAUCGAUCAACUUCUUCCACAUCCAAAGAACAACCAUCCGAGAUCUUCUCAAAAGCCUACAGCCACAUCCCAAAGCCUCAUCUCUUCUCAGCUGUGGGCUUCAUCCAAACAACCCCAGCCACGGAAACAGAACCAGGAUCUCAUCCGCAUCCUUCCGAAUAUCC